AUGAACGCUGGCGGCGUGCCUAAUACAUGCACGUCGAGCGAACGGACGAGAAGCUUGCUUCUCUGAUGUUAGCGGCGGACGGGUGAGUAACACGUGGAUAACCUACCUAUAAGACUGGGAUAACUUCGGGAAACCGGAGCUAAUACCGGAUAAUAUUUUGAACCGCAUGGUUCAAAAGUGAAAGACGGUCUUGCUGUCACUUAUAGAUGGAUCCGCGCUGCAUUAGCUAGUUGGUAAGGUAACGGCUUACCAAGGCAACGAUGCAUAGCCGACCUGAGAGGGUGAUCGGCCACACUGGAACUGAGACACGGUCCAGACUCCUAUGGGAGGCAGCAGUAGGGAAUCUUCCGCAAUGGGCGAAAGCCUGACGGAGCAACGCCGCGUGAGUGAUGAAGGUCUUCGGAUCGUAAAACUCUGUUAUUAGGGAAGAACAUAUGUGUAAGUAACUGUGCACAUCUUGACGGUACCUAAUCAGAAAGCCACGGCUAACUACGUG
Molecule: ribosomal RNA, 496 nt
Filed under: uncultured bacterium
Lineage: Bacteria
Description: partial 16S ribosomal RNA
Rfam family: Bacterial small subunit ribosomal RNA
Source: RNAcentral